CCUCGGCGUAAAGGGUGGUUAAUUUUUGAAAAAUUAAAGCCGAAUUUUCCCUAAACUGUUAUACGUUCUCGGGAAAUAGAAGCCCCACUACGAAAGUGGCUUUAUAAAGAUUGAACCCACGAAAGCUAAGACACAAACUGGGAUUAGAUACCCCACUAUGCUUAGCCCUAAACUCAGACAAACCAACAUACCCACUUUGUCGCCCGGGAACUACAAGCACCAGCUUAAAACCCAAAGGACUUGGCGGUGCUUAACACCCCCCUAGAGGAGCCUGUUCUAGAACCGAUAACCCUCGUUUAACCUCACCCUUUCUUGCCUAUCCCGCCUAUAUACCGCCGUCGUCAGCUUACCCUGUGAAGGCCCUCAUAGUAAGCAAAUUAGUAA
RNAcentral lists this ribosomal RNA (384 nucleotides) under Ecsenius nalolo (nalolo). RNAcentral's name for it is "partial 12S ribosomal RNA". It matches the Rfam family "Bacterial small subunit ribosomal RNA", at positions 547 to 1095 of the family's 1533-position model. Lineage: Eukaryota; Metazoa; Chordata; Actinopteri; Blenniiformes; Blenniidae. The record is from RNAcentral.